This 164-nucleotide ribosomal RNA is filed under the name Festuca ultramafica. Its description in RNAcentral is "5.8S ribosomal RNA". It matches the Rfam family "5.8S ribosomal RNA". From Rfam's summary of the family: 5.8S ribosomal RNA (5.8S rRNA) is a component of the large subunit of the eukaryotic ribosome. It is transcribed by RNA polymerase I as part of the 45S precursor that also contains 18S and 28S rRNA. The record is from RNAcentral. Lineage: Eukaryota; Viridiplantae; Streptophyta; Magnoliopsida; Poales; Poaceae.
CACAUGACUCUCGGCAACGGAUAUCUCGGCUCUCGCAUCGAUGAAGAACGUAGCGAAAUGCGAUACCUGGUGUGAAUUGCAGAAUCCCGCGAACCAUCGAGUCUUUGAACGCAAGUUGCGCCCGAGGCCUUUUGGCCGAGGGCACGCCUGCCUGGGCGUCACGC